Molecule: transfer RNA, 71 nt
Filed under: Camelus bactrianus (Bactrian camel)
Lineage: Eukaryota; Metazoa; Chordata; Mammalia; Artiodactyla; Camelidae
Also listed under: 1 other name
Rfam family: tRNA
About the family: Transfer RNA (tRNA) molecules are approximately 80 nucleotides in length. Their secondary structure includes four short double-helical elements and three loops (D, anti-codon, and T loops).
Source: Rfam by way of RNAcentral
GUGGGUAUAGCUUGGGGUAGAGUGCACACCUAGCACACACAAGGUCCUGGGUUCAAUCCCCAGUACCUGCA